Long non-coding RNA from Raphanus sativus (radish), 1171 nucleotides. RefSeq lists it as uncharacterized. The record is from RefSeq and is a predicted model, not a curated record. Lineage: Eukaryota; Viridiplantae; Streptophyta; Magnoliopsida; Brassicales; Brassicaceae. The transcript is spliced from 3 exons.
GAAAAGCGUUUUGAGGUAAAUUGCGAUGAUCUGAUCACAACAAAGGGUAAUGUGGUAAAUUAUCAGUGGCUUUUGAUCAGAUUUUACGAAAAUGCCCCUUUUAAGUUCAUUUUGACUUUGAUCAUGUUGUUCAUUUUGAUUCGAAAGAAGAGAUACUUUCAAACCAGAGACCGUCUGAAUGGUGGCCCUGUUAAACAUUGAAGAUAUGGACCUAUACAUGUAAAUACCUUUAUUUGCACAUUAGUCUUGCUCUGUGUUCAUGGUUCUUUCUCUAGACGUUAGUGGUCUGUGACGCUCGGUCUAAGCCUACUUUAGCAUGAGCCUUGAAUAUGGCCAAACCUAGUUCCCCGUCUUUUAGUUCACUUACAUUUUCUAUAUCAGUUUGCUGUAUUGUUUUAUAGUUUUCCAUUUGUUAUGUUGAAAGCAAACAUGCUUCAAUCGUUGGUUACAGUCUGCUUCCCAUGAUCGUCUGAUCUGUCUGUAUGUAGGUUGAUGGAUUUGGCUCAUCAGGAGUUGUCCCUGGCUAACCAAUUUUCGAAGCUCAAGAUACCUGAUGGAGCCAUACGUAAAUCCAGGGCUGAUAUGUACAGGCGUGGCUGUGGUGUAUGUUAACUAUCUCAACAAUCUGGAGGAGGAGGAUAUGUAUACAAGCGUGGUUAUUGUGUGAAUCCUGGUGUGGAAACGCCACAAAAUCCAAGGCCAGCAGAACAAUCGAUCUUUGCAAUAAUCCCAUGACAAAGGAACCAUAGCUUCAGGGUGUUAGAAGAAUUGUAACUGAAUGGCCCGAUCUUGAUCUCUAGGCACGGAAAUUCACAGCAAAAAUCUUGGGUGAAGAUAUGGAACUCAAGGAGCCUGUAGCUGCUGUAACAGAAGAGCCUAAUCCUUCUUCAUCAAGAGGAGAAGAAAACCAUCAAUCUUGGAUAUUUGCUAGGUAAGGUUUCUAGUUUUUUUUUUAUUUGAAGCACCAGUUUCAAAGAUAUCUCUCAGCAAAACUAUCUGGGAGAGUGAAGAAUCAACUAGAGUUUGAAUUUUUGCAAUGUUCUAAACUAGAUAGGUUCAACAUUUGUAUGAAGUAGAUCAACCUUAUGCAGAAGAAUAAUCUCAGUAUAGUUAUGAUUAAGUUUCACUACUUUGUAACUGAUAAAUAGAACUUUGACACUGUUACGAUUAA